AGGACGAACGCUGGCGGCGUGCUUAACACAUGCAAGUCGAGCGGAAAGGCCCUUCGGGGUACUCGAGCGGCGAACGGGUGAGUAACACGUGAGCAACCUGCCCUUAGCUCCGGGAUAGCUCCGGGAAACCGGAAUUAAUACCGGAUACGACCACGGCCGACAUCUGCUGUGGUGGAAAGGAUUCCGGCUAAGGAUGGGCUCGCGGCCUAUCAGCUAGUUGGUGGAGUAACGGCCCACCAAGGCGACGACGGGUAGCCGGCCUGAGAGGGCGACCGGCCACACUGGGACUGAGACACGGCCCAGACUCCUACGGGAGGCAGCAGUGGGGAAUAUUGCGCAAUGGGCGAAAGCCGGACGCAGCGACGCCGCGUGGGGAUGAAGGCCUUCGGGUUGUAAACCCCUUUCAGCAGGGACGAAGCGAAAGUGACGGUACUGCAGAAGAAGCGCCGGCUAACUACGCGCCAGCAGCCGC
RNAcentral lists this ribosomal RNA (472 nucleotides) under uncultured bacterium. RNAcentral describes it as "SSU rRNA". It matches the Rfam family "Bacterial small subunit ribosomal RNA", at positions 26 to 518 of the family's 1533-position model. The record is from RNAcentral.